AGAGAAAAAGCAGUGAAGAUCCUGGCUGAUAACCACAAGAGCUUACCUAGUUAUAGAUCAGAGGUAUAUUACCCAAACUAUGGGGAUUUCACCAUUUUUUGGAUUAUGAGCAUAUCAGUGACAGAUUUCUUUUCUUCUCCACCUUCCUGGUCUUUCUUGGCUGAAAGGGAAAGAACAGAAAAGCAUGAUUAAGAGUGAGCCCUGUAGUCCCAGCUACUCAGGAGCCUGAAGCAGGAGGAUCACUGGAGCCGAGAAGUUUGAGUCUGCAGUGAGCUAUGAUGACAUCACUGCGCUCGAGCCCAGACAAAAGAAUCCAGAAAAAACAGUUCUACACUUCGUAUGGAACCAAGAAAAGACCCUGAAUAGCCAAUGCAAUCUUAUGUACUAAGAAUAAAUUGGGAGGCCUCACUCUAUCAGACUUCAAGCUAUACAAGGCUAUAGUAACCAAAACAGAAAGGUACUGGCACAAAAACAGAGACAUAGCUCCAGAUAGAAAACCAUCCUCAUAUUCUCAUCUGACCUUUCACAAAGCAGACAAAAACAUACACUGGGGGAAAAGAACCUCUGUUCAAUAAACAGCAACAUGUAAAAGACUGGAAUAGGAUCUGUAACUCUUACCACUCACAAAAAUUAACUCACAAUGGAUAACAGACUGAAAUCUAAGACAUGAAACUGUAAGAACACUAGAAGAAAAUGUUGGAAAAAGCUCUUCUAAAUAUCAACCUAUGCAAAGAAUUUAUGAAGAAGAUCCCAUGGCAAUCAUAGCAACAACAAAAAUUAAUCUGACAUAAUCAAAUUAAAAAGUUUCUGCACAGCCAAGGACACAGUCAAUACAGCCAACAGCCUACAGAAUGGUAGAAUAUUUGCAUGCUAUACACAUGAUAAAGGGCUGAUAAUCAGAAUCUACAAAGAACUUGAGCAAAUCACCAAGAAAAAACCAAACAACCAUAUAAAUAUUGUUUGUUUGUUUGUUCAGAGACAGUCUCACUUGUUGCCCUGGGUUGAGUGCCAUGGUGUCCUCAUAGCUCACAGCAACCUCAACUCAAACUCUUGGGCUCAAGCAAUUCUUUUCCCUCAGCUUCUUGAGUAGCUGGGACUACAGGGCCAACCACAAAGCCUGGUUAAUCUAUUUUUAGUAGAGACAGGAGUCUCACUCUUGUUCAGGUGGCUCUCAAACUUGCAAGCUCAAGCACUCUGAUGCCUUGGCCUCCCAGAGUGCUCGGAUUAUAGGUGUGAGCCACCAUGCCUGGCAAACAACCUUAUUAAAAAGUGGG
This is a long non-coding RNA of Nycticebus coucang (slow loris), 1274 nucleotides long. RefSeq lists it as uncharacterized. NCBI's taxonomy places the organism in Eukaryota, Metazoa, Chordata, Mammalia, Primates, Lorisidae. The record is from RefSeq and is a predicted model, not a curated record. The transcript is spliced from 4 exons.